RNAcentral lists this ribosomal RNA (492 nucleotides) under uncultured bacterium. RNAcentral's name for it is "partial 16S ribosomal RNA". It matches the Rfam family "Bacterial small subunit ribosomal RNA", at positions 29 to 507 of the family's 1533-position model. The record is from RNAcentral.
AGUGAACGCUGGCGGUAGGCCUAACACAUGCCAGUCGAACGGCAGCACAGUAAGAGCUUGCUCUUACGGGUGGCGAGUGGCGGACGGGUGAGGAAUACAUCGGAAUCUACUUUUUCGUGGGGGAUAACGUAGGGAAACUUACGCUAAUAACGCAUACGAACUACGGGUGAAAGCAGGGGAUCUUCGGACCUUGCGCGAUUGAAUGAGCCGAUGUCGGAUUAGCUAGUUGGCGGGGUAAAGGCCCACCAAGGCGACGAUCCGUAGCUGGUCUGAGAGGAUGAUCAGCCACACUGGAACUGAGACACGGUCCAGACUCCUACGGGAGGCAGCAGUGGGGAAUAUUGGACAAUGGGCGCAAGCCUGAUCCAGCCAUACCGCGUGGGUGAAGAAGGCCUUCGGGUUGUAAAGCCCUUUUGUUGGGAAAGAAAAGCAGCAGGUUAAUACCCCGCUGUUCUGACGGUACCCAAAGAAUAAGCACCGGCUAACUUCGUG